UUACCAUUCUGUUGUCCUUUAUCCAUUUGGCUACAUGCAGAUUCCCAUCUGGUAUCAGUGUCCUUCCUGGAGGAUUUAACAUUUCUUGUGGUGUGGGUCUGCUGGUGAUGUAGUCUUUCAGCAUUUGUAUGUCUUCCAAUGUCAUUCACCUUCAUUUCUGAAAGCCUUUUUUGGAGGGGAGGCGUAGAAUUCCACCUUGACUUUGAUGCUGCUCCAUUGCCUUCUCACUUGCACCGCUUCCGGGGAGAAAACUGACAUCCUGUUUACUUUUGUGUUCUGUACGUACCAUGUCUUUUUCCUCUGGGUGCUUCUGCACAGUUGUUUUUGGUUUUGCUUUCUUUUUCCAUGGAUUUGAGCAAUACAAUUAUGAUGUGACUAGAUACGGUUUCCUUCCUGUCUCUUGUGCUCAUUCGUCAUGUUCAUUCGGCUCCUUGGAUCGGUGGGUUUACAAUCAUUAUAAUGAUUGGAAGUCCUUCUGUUGUUGUCUCCUCAAAAAUUGCUUCUUUACCCCCAGUCCCAGUCUUUUCAGGAACUCUGAUCACUCAUAUCUUUUAAAGUUGCCCUACCAUUCCCUGACAGCGCUUUACUUCCUGGAGCAGACGUUGCAUGUGUUUUUCACCCUCACCAAUAUCUCCUCAAGGUCCCCACACCUCCUCUGAACCCGUUGCCCACAGCUACUCUAUGUGAUGUCUAAAUAUGUGCAGCAGCAUUAUAUUAAAAGUGUUUUGUUUUUUCUCUCUUAAUUAGAAAAGUUCUAAUUAAUUAACUCAGUUUAGUAUCAUUGGAAGAACGUAAAGAUAACAGUAGGUCUUAAAAUUGCAAAUUGACUCGACACAUAAUGGAGAAAUGCAUGUGGACUAUAAAAAUAUAAAAUACCUAAAAACCUUUACCCCAAAAUAUUGUAAGAAUAAUUAAGUCACUAUGAGUUCCAGACUUCUAAGACUUACUCUCCAUUUACAAAUCUUUUAGGAUCUCUUUAAUGUACUGAAACACAUAAUUUCAUAUUGUAUAAACUCCUUAAAUACUAUUGGAAUUGAAGUGCGCUUAUUGGGCCAGUAAAACCAAUAUAGGAAAUUUAGGUGGCUACGUGUCACCAGGAAUUUGAAGAGAAAAUAAAUCCAAGACCUGUAUAAACUAGAAUAUAUCUACCAAUAUUUUCUAUAUUAUUAGAAAACCCGGAAGACAACAUAAAACAGUUUUUAGGCCACAACUAUUAAACCAGUCGGAUGCACACAAAAAGUCCUCUUUAGAAAUAUGACAUGACAUAAACAUGUUCUAUGCCAUUAUAUGUAAAUUAUUAAAAUCCUUUAAAGUGUUUAAACGUAUUCGAGAUUCAUCCUUACUAUCCACUUGAUGUUUUCCCCCUUGUACCUGAGUGCACGGAGAGCAAUUUAUCUACAUCUAAACAGGGCUUUUUGUUUGUCUGUUUUCCCGGGUUACAGAUUCAGCAAGAAAGGAAGUAGGAGGGGUGCCUGGCUGGCUCAAUCCGUAGAGCAUGGGACUCUUGAUGUUUAAAAAAAAAGAAAGAAAAGAAAGAGAAGGAAGGAAGGGCGGAGGCAGAGAAAGAAAAGGGUGAGGGGGACAAACCCCCAUCAAUAGCGUCCUUGCACGCCCCCCUUGGGUCCUGGAAAUAGAAGCUCAGUCACUACCCCACUUGGGGAAGGGGCUCAACUGAAUACACACCACAAAUCAGGUUGCCUGUGUCUGCUUGGACUCAGAGUGGAGCCAGGACAAGCUCAAGGACAGGACGAGAUGAGACCAAGCACCAUUAUCACAGGGCAGCCAGCUACCUGACAGUGCCAAGGCAGACAAUCCUGGAAAGCUCUUGAAGACUUCCCCUUCCCCUUGAAGAUUUUCCCACCCGCUCCCCCUCAUCCUCCCACCACGGGGAAAGGAUUCUUCACCUUCUGUUGGGCCAGGACCCGUGAAGAUCCCUGCAGGGCAGGAGAGCCUGCAGGGCAGGAGGAUCCAGGGGGCAGCAGCUGCACUUCCCUGAAGGGUCUCUCCCCGGGUGGCGGGUUCUAGAGCUCAGGCUCACCCUAGAUCCACUGCCCACCAAAGCCACCAGGAGGAGUCCGGAGGGCAGCCGGUGCUGGGGGCACGACAACCUGGACGUGUUCCUACAAGCACAGGGCACGCCUGGCCUGCCCUCUCCAGGAGAGCCGAAGAACCGCCUGCCUGCCUGAAGCUUCUCUACAGCCUGAAGGGAACAGGUGUCUGCUUCCUGAAGGAACAGGAGGGCUCUCCUCCACAGGACAAAGCCCUCCCCUGGCCCUGGAGGAAAGGUCCUGCAGAGGCUGGUUCUGCGCGACACUGCCCAAGGCAAAGGAGCAACCGCGGACCAAACAAUCAUCUGGAGAUGACUGCACAAGUCCUGUCUGUACAUGUGGAGCGAGAAUGAGAAAGCAAAUGUGGGGAAAUGUUAACUGGUGCACCUGGGUGAGGGAUAUAGGAUGUGACCAUUCUGGCAACUGUUUGGGUAUGUUUCAAAGUUUGUUUGUUUGUUUGUUUGUUUGUUUGUUUGAAAGGAGUGACAAAGUCAAGUCCCAGGUUCUCUUUAGAGGAAAACGCUUAAAGUGAGACCUUGGGUUUCUGAGGUGAAUGGAAGGGAGCCGCUGGCCUGGCUUCUCAUCCCAGCUCUCCUCUCCCAGCCUGGCCAUUACAAGGACCCGGACUCCUGACCUCCCGUAUUUUAGGGGCUCAGUGCACAGCCACUUCUGCAAGCGUCCCUGGGUGCACACCAGACUUCGGGGGAUGAAAAGGCAAAUCCUAAGUAUGGAGACAGCGCCACAAAGUCUCCUGGAUUGGAAUCGAACCUGAGCAGUAGCGGUGAAAAAUCCAAAUCCCAUCCCACCGAUCCGAUCCCGGGGAAUCCACCCACACAGGAUCCCUGCUUCGGCCCCUGCAGAUGAAAACCCUGAAAGUCAAGGUGACAUUUCCCAGGCGGACAGAGCACAAGCGGAGGCGAUUCCCAGCGGCGCGGGGCUGAAUGCAGCCGCACAAGGCUCCCAGCCCUUGCCCUGCUGCUCACCACCUCUUCCAGCCUCAGCGACCCCUUGGGCCCUGACCACAAGGUGACUGGCCUGUGCCACACUCUAGUCCAGCUGGAGCCGUGUGUGUUGCAGAGCCAAGGCCGUGCUCUCUUUCUGAGCCUCGUUUGCUGAUGGGCAAAUAAAUACACCUGUUGCGCAAGUGUGCCGCCCAGGGAA
This is a long non-coding RNA of Felis catus (domestic cat), 3209 nucleotides long. RefSeq lists it as uncharacterized. Lineage: Eukaryota; Metazoa; Chordata; Mammalia; Carnivora; Felidae. The record is from RefSeq and is a predicted model, not a curated record. The transcript has 2 exons.